RNAcentral lists this long non-coding RNA (616 nucleotides) under Triticum aestivum (bread wheat). RNAcentral's name for it is "long non-coding RNA (TAES_LNC014942)". The record is from RNAcentral. Lineage: Eukaryota; Viridiplantae; Streptophyta; Magnoliopsida; Poales; Poaceae.
AAGCACUACACAAGUACAUCUCACUUAAAAUAAACAGUAUUGUUCUCGGAAGCAAAAUACGCCACCACACGCCAUGGUGCGCCAUCUUACUCGAUCUGGCCUCAAGGAACUAGCAGCGCUGCUUGCUCCUUUGGCUGAGAGCUCCUUGCUGUAGAGGAUGGCUGAAACUCGGAUGCAAAGCUCCCUGCACAUGACAUAUUGUGUCAAUGCUUGCAACAACAAAAAGAACUCACCUACCAUAGAACUUGCACAGUAAUGUAUCAACCACCAAACUGUAUGAAACAAAAACAAAUGAGAGGGGGAGGAGUUUAUACCUGAUCUUCUUGAGCCUCUCCCCAAGCAAAAGCAUCAUCCAAGGUAAUCGUCUAAACAAGAACACUCCUUAAGAUUCUGGAAAUGGACCAACACAGUAGUAGUGAAGCUAUGCGGGGAUCUUUGUGAAGCUGUUUAUCGCUUCUUGGAGACACCAACAGUCUUCCCUCUCCUGCCGGUAGUCUUGGUGUGCUGACCACGGAUACACACGCCCCAGUAGUGACGCAGACCAUGAUGGUUCCUGGGAAAGAGAGCAAGGUUUCAAGCAUAAGUGAUGGCUCAUACAUCUAUGCACUAAGGAAAA